AUUGAACGCUGGCGGCAGGCCUAACACAUGCAAGUCGAGCGGAUGAAGGGAGCUUGCUCCUGGAUUCAGCGGCGGACGGGUGAGUAAUGCCUAGGAAUCUGCCUGGUAGUGGGGGAUAACGUCCGGAAACGGGCGCUAAUACCGCAUACGUCUUGAGGGAGAAAGUGGGGGAUCUUCGGACCUCACGCUAUCAGAUGAGCCUAGGUCGGAUUAGCUAGUUGGUGGGGUAAAGGCCUACCAAGGCGACGAUCCGUAACUGGUCUGAGAGGAUGAUCAGUCACACUGGAACUGAGACACGGUCCAGUCUCCUACGGGAGGCAGCAGUGGGGAAUAUUGGACAAUGGGCGAAAGCCUGAUCCAGCCAUGCCGCGUGUGUGAAGAAGGUCUUCGGAUUGUAAAGCACUUUAAGUUGGGAGGAAGGGCAGUAAGUUAAUACCUUGCUGUUUUGACGUUACCAACAGAAUAAGCACCGGCUAACUUCGUG
This 484-nucleotide ribosomal RNA is filed under the name uncultured bacterium. RNAcentral describes it as "partial 16S ribosomal RNA". It matches the Rfam family "Bacterial small subunit ribosomal RNA", at positions 30 to 507 of the family's 1533-position model. The record is from RNAcentral.